RNAcentral lists this ribosomal RNA (484 nucleotides) under uncultured bacterium. RNAcentral describes it as "partial 16S ribosomal RNA". It matches the Rfam family "Bacterial small subunit ribosomal RNA", at positions 30 to 507 of the family's 1533-position model. The record is from RNAcentral.
AUUGAACGCUGGCGGCAGGCCUAACACAUGCAAGUCGAGCGGAUGAAGGGAGCUUGCUCCUGGAUUCAGCGGCGGACGGGUGAGUAAUGCCUAGGAAUCUGCCUGGUAGUGGGGGAUAACGUCCGGAAACGGGCGCUAAUACCGCAUACGUCCUGAGGGAGAAAGUGGGGGAUCUUCGGACCUCACGCUAUCAGAUGAGCCUAGGUCGGAUUAGCUAGUUGGUGGGGUAAAGGCCUACCAAGGCGACGAUCCGUAACUGGUCUGAGAGGAUGAUCAGUCACACUGGAGCUGAGACACGGUCCAGACUCCUAAGGGAGGCAGCAGUGGGGAAUAUUGGACAAUGGGCGAAAGCCUGAUCCAGCCAUGCCGCGUGUGUUAAGAAGGUCUUCGGAUUGUAAAGCACUUUAAGUUGGGAGGAAGGGCAGUAAGUUAAUACCUUGCUGUUUUGACGUUACCAACAGAAUAAGCACCGGCUAACUUCGUG